RNAcentral lists this long non-coding RNA (715 nucleotides) under Vulpes vulpes (red fox). Its description in RNAcentral is "lncRNA (ENSVVUG00000001961.1)". Lineage: Eukaryota; Metazoa; Chordata; Mammalia; Carnivora; Canidae. The record is from RNAcentral.
UUCACAUCAGGAUUCCAUUGUUGUAAACCCCUGCCUUUGAUAUCUAGUUGGGUAGAAUGAAAGGUUCUAGAAGGUUUAAUGAAGUGGACAAGCUUAAUAUUGUAUAGGAUUUAGGUGAAUUGGAAACAGUGGGAGAGAAGUUCUGUGUACAAGUUUAGCUUUCACUAAAUUAUGUGAAUGGAGAGGGUAAGUGCUAACUUGUCCAAUAGUAACAUCUUACAGGAUGGCCUCCCAGAGACAGAGAGAUGGCUUCAUAUAGUGAAGAAUCUUUUGUGAAUUGAAAAGAUCCCAUGGAAACCAUACAAGUGAGGUGUUUUCUCCCCUCUGCCACAGUCCUGAAGCCCCUGGUUUUGCUGCCACCACUGCUCCAGUCUCAGCAUCACCCAUCCUCCAUACGCCACUCCUGAUGCCAGCAUAAGAACAAUAAUUCAAGAGCACCAUGAGACCACCAGGUUGCCUACUGAAGGAUGAGAGAUCAUGAAGGAAAAUUGAAAUGACCUACUCCACAGCCAGUCUCCAGAUACGUGAAUGAAACCAUUUAGGACCAUCCAGCUUCAAGUCAAAAUGCCAGUUGGGAGCAGAACCAGCGGCUGACCACAGAGACAUGGGUGAUCCCAGUUGACACGAGCAGAAGGAAAACACAGUUGAACCCAGCCCCAAAUAAUGACUUGUACGAUCAUGAGCUAAAUAAAUGAUUUUUAAGCCACUAAAUUCA